AGGACGAACGCUGGCGGCGUGCUUAACACAUGCAAGUCGAACGGUAAGGCCCUUCGGGGUACACGAGUGGCGAACGGGUGAGUAACACGUGGGUGAUCUGCCCUGCACUUCGGGAUAAGCCUGGGAAACUGGGUCUAAUACCGGAUAGGACUCCGAAUCGCAUGGUUUGGGGUGGAAAGCUUUUGCGGUGUGGGAUGGGCCCGCGGCCUAUCAGCUUGUUGGUGGGGUGAUGGCCUACAAGGCGACGACGGGUAGCCGGCCUGAGAGGGUGUCCGGCCACACUGGGACUGAGAUACGGCCCAGACUCCUACGGGAGGCAGCAGUGGGGAAUAUUGCACAAUGGGCGCAAGCCUGAUGCAGCGACGCCGCGUGAGGGGUGACGGCCUUCGGGUUGUAAACCUCUUUCAAUAGGGACGAAGCGUAAGUGACGGUACCUAUAGAAGAAGCACCGGCCAACUACGUG
RNAcentral lists this ribosomal RNA (463 nucleotides) under uncultured bacterium. RNAcentral describes it as "bacterial SSU rRNA". It matches the Rfam family "Bacterial small subunit ribosomal RNA", at positions 26 to 507 of the family's 1533-position model. The record is from RNAcentral.